UUGAACGCUGGCGGCAGGCCUAACACAUGCAAGUCGAGCGGGGGUAGCAAUACCUUAGCGGCGAACGGGUGAGGAAUGCUUGGGAAUCUGCCUGAUAGUGGGGGAUAACGUUCCGAGAGGAACGCUAAUACCGCGUACGUCCUACGGGAGAAAGGGGGGGAUCUUCGGACCUCUCGCUAUUAGAUGAGCCCAAGCGGGAUUAGCUAGUUGGUGAGGUAAAGGCUCACCAAGGCUACGAUCCCUAGCUGGUCUGAGAGGAUGAUCAGCGACACUGGAACUGAGACACGGUCCAGACUCCUACGGGAGGCAGCAGUGGGGAAUAUUGGACAAUGGGGGAAACCCUGAUCCAGCCAUGCCGCGUGUGUGAAGAAGGCCUUCGGGUUGUAAAGCACUUUAAGCGGGGAGGAAGGGCUUGUGGUUAAUAACUGCAAGCAUUGACGUUACCCGCAGAAUAAGCACCGGCUAACUCUGU
Molecule: ribosomal RNA, 472 nt
Filed under: uncultured bacterium
Lineage: Bacteria
Description: bacterial SSU rRNA
Rfam family: Bacterial small subunit ribosomal RNA
Source: RNAcentral